CUACGUGCCAGCAGCCGCGGUAAAACGUAGGUCACAAGCGUUGUCCGGAAUUACUGGGUGUAAAGGGAGCGCAGGCGGGAAGACAAGUUGGAAGUGAAAUCCAUGGGCUCAACCCAUGAACUGCUUUCAAAACUGUUUUUCUUGAGUAGUGCAGAGGUAGGCGGAAUUCCCGGUGUAGCGGUGGAAUGCGUAGAUAUCGGGAGGAACACCAGUGGCGAAGGCGGCCUACUGGGCACCAACUGACGCUGAGGCUCGAAAGUGUGGGUAGCAAACAGGAUUAGAUACCCUGGUAGUCCACACUGUAAACGAUGAUUACUAGGUGUUGGAGGAUUGACCCCUUCAGUGCCGCAGUUAACACAAUAAGUAAUCCACCUGGGGAGUACGACCGCAAGGUUGAAACUCAAAGGAAUUGACGGGGGCCCGCACAAGCAGUGGAGUAUGUGGUUUAAUUCGACGCAACGCGAAGAACCUUACCAAGUCUUGACAUCCUGCGACGGACAUAGAAAUAUGUUUUUCCUUCGGGACGCAGAGACAGGUGGUGCAUGGUUGUCGUCAGCUCGUGUCGUGAGAUGUUGGGUUAAGUCCCGCAACGAGCGCAACCCU
RNAcentral lists this ribosomal RNA (603 nucleotides) under Faecalibacterium prausnitzii. RNAcentral describes it as "bacterial SSU rRNA". It matches the Rfam family "Bacterial small subunit ribosomal RNA", at positions 501 to 1105 of the family's 1533-position model. Lineage: Bacteria; Bacillati; Bacillota; Clostridia; Eubacteriales; Oscillospiraceae. The record is from RNAcentral.